GGGCCCAUAGCUCAAUUGGUUAGAGCCGCCGGCUCAUAACCGGCUCGUUGCUGGUUCGAGUCCAGCUGGGCCUACCC
RNAcentral lists this transfer RNA (77 nucleotides) under Sandaracinus sp. RNAcentral's name for it is "tRNA-Met". It matches the Rfam family "tRNA". From Rfam's summary of the family: Transfer RNA (tRNA) molecules are approximately 80 nucleotides in length. Their secondary structure includes four short double-helical elements and three loops (D, anti-codon, and T loops). Further hydrogen bonds mediate the characteristic L-shaped molecular structure. tRNAs have two regions of fundamental functional importance: the anti-codon, which is responsible for specific mRNA codon recognition, and the 3' end, to which the tRNAs corresponding amino acid is attached (by aminoacyl-tRNA synthetases). tRNAs cope with the degeneracy of the genetic code in two manners: having more than one tRNA (with a specific anti-codon) for a particular amino acid; and 'wobble' base-pairing, i.e. permitting non-standard base-pairing at the 3rd anti-codon position. RNAcentral also lists the same sequence under 1 other name. The record is from RNAcentral. Lineage: Bacteria; Pseudomonadati; Myxococcota; Polyangiales; Sandaracinaceae.